GUGGAUUAGAUACCCUGGUAGUCCACGCCCUAAACGAUGCGAACUGGACGUUGGGCUCAACUAGGAGCUCAGUGUCGAAGCUAACGCGUUAAGUUCGCCGCCUGGGGAGUACGGUCGCAAGACUGAAACUCAAAGGAAUUGACGGGGGCCCGCACAAGCGGUGGAGUAUGUGGUUUAAUUCGAUGCAACGCGCAGAACCUUACCUGGCCUUGACAUCCAGUGAACUUUCCAGAGAUGGAUUGGUGCCUUCGGGAACACUGAGACAGGUGCUGCACGGUCGUCGACAACU
RNAcentral lists this ribosomal RNA (289 nucleotides) under uncultured bacterium. RNAcentral's name for it is "partial 16S ribosomal RNA". It matches the Rfam family "Bacterial small subunit ribosomal RNA", at positions 773 to 1060 of the family's 1533-position model. The record is from RNAcentral.